Molecule: ribosomal RNA, 465 nt
Filed under: uncultured bacterium
Lineage: Bacteria
Description: partial 16S ribosomal RNA
Rfam family: Bacterial small subunit ribosomal RNA
Source: RNAcentral
GACGAACGCUGGCGGCGUGCUUAACACAUGCAAGUCGAACGGAAAGGCCCCUUUGGGGGUACUCGAGUGGCGAACGGGUGAGUAACACGUGAGUAACCUGCCCUUGACUUCGGGAUAACUUCAGGAAACUGGGGCUAAUACCGGAUAGGAAUCCUUGCUGCAUGGUGGGGGUUGGAAAGCUUCGGCGGUUUUGGAUGGACUCGCGGCUUAUCAGCUUGUUGGUGGGGUAGUGGCUUACCAAGGCUUUGACGGGUAGCCGGCCUGAGAGGGCGACCGGCCACAUUGGGACUGAGAUACGGCCCAGACUCCUACGGGAGGCAGCAGUGGGGAAUAUUGCACAAUGGGCGGAAGCCUGAUGCAGCAACGCCGCGUGCGGGAUGACGGCCUUCGGGUUGUAAACUGCUUUCAGCAGGGGCGAAGCUUGUGGUGACGGUACCUGCAGAAGAAGCACCGGCUAACUACGUG